CCAGGGGGCCGGGCAGCCGCGUACUUCGACAAGCUCAGCAUGAGCGGGGAGAAGGCCGAGGAAAGUCCGGGCUCCACGAAACGAGGGUGGCGGGUAACGCCCGCCGGGGGUAACCCCAGGGAAAGUGCCACAGAGAGCAGACCGCCUGCAUCUGCAGGUAAGGGUGAAAGGGUGCGGUAAGAGCGCACCGGGGCCCUGGUAACAGGGCUCGCAUGGCAAACCCCACCCGGAGCAAGACCGAAUAGGGGCGGCGCGUUUCGGUUUCGGCUGGAACAGGCGUGUUUCGCGUCGACCGCCCGGGUUGGUUGCUGGAGCGCCGUGGCAACACGGCGCCGAGAGGAAUGGCUGCCCUUGCGGAUACGGUCUCUCUUCAGGGAUACCGUUCGCAAGACAGAACCCGGCUUACAGGCCCCCUGGCGCA
This 421-nucleotide RNase P RNA is filed under the name Novosphingobium flavum. RNAcentral describes it as "Bacterial RNase P class A". It matches the Rfam family "Bacterial RNase P class A". Rfam says of the family: Ribonuclease P (RNase P) is a ubiquitous endoribonuclease, found in archaea, bacteria and eukarya as well as chloroplasts and mitochondria. The record is from Rfam by way of RNAcentral. Lineage: Bacteria; Pseudomonadati; Pseudomonadota; Alphaproteobacteria; Sphingomonadales; Sphingomonadaceae.